Molecule: transfer RNA, 73 nt
Filed under: Gemmataceae bacterium
Lineage: Bacteria; Pseudomonadati; Planctomycetota; Planctomycetia; Gemmatales; Gemmataceae
Description: tRNA-Glu
Rfam family: tRNA
About the family: Transfer RNA (tRNA) molecules are approximately 80 nucleotides in length.
Source: RNAcentral
GCCCUGGCGGACCAGGGGAGUGGUCGUCACGUUCUCACCGUGAAGAUCGUGGGUUCGAAUCCCAUCCAGGGUA